UGGGGAAUAUUGCACAAUGGGCGAAAGCCUGAUGCAGCAACGCCGCGUGAGUGAUGAAGGCCUUCGGGUUGUAAAGCUCUGUCUUUUGGGACGAUAAUGACGGUACCAAAGGAGGAAGCCACGGCUAACUACGUGCCAGCAGCCGCGGUAAUACGUAGGUGGCAAAGCGUUGUCCGGAUUUACUGGGCGUAAAGGAUGCGUAGGCGGAUUUUUAAGUGAGAUGUGAAAACCCUAAGCUUAACUUGGGGACUGCAUUUCAUACUGGAAAUCUAGAGUGCGGGAGAGGAGAAUGGAAUUCCUAGUGUAGCGGUGAAAUGCGUAGAGAUUAGGAAGAACACCAGUGGCGAAGGCGAUUCUCUGGACCGUAACUGACGCUGAGGCAUGAAAGCGUGGGUAGCAAACAGGAUUAGAUACCCUGGUAGUCCACGCCGUAAACGAUGAGUACUAGGUGUAGGAGGUAUCGACCCCUUCUGUGCCGCAGUUAACACAAUAAGUACUCCGCCUGGGAAGUACGAUCGCAAGAUUAAAAACUUAAAGGAAUUGACGGGGUCAUAGCUGUUUCCU
RNAcentral lists this ribosomal RNA (564 nucleotides) under uncultured bacterium. RNAcentral's name for it is "partial 16S ribosomal RNA". It matches the Rfam family "Bacterial small subunit ribosomal RNA", at positions 355 to 1375 of the family's 1533-position model. The record is from RNAcentral.